AUGGGAGCAUCGGCCGGCGUGUUGAAGUCCAGGGGGAAGUUCUGUGUGCUCUGUUGGUUCCUUUGCUCUGCCCUCGACUCCCCUUGCGUCCCCUUCUGUAUAGAAUUUUCCUGUAUUUAUGUUGGAGUGCCGAUGCCUCCUGAUUUUGACAAACUAGAACGCUUUCAAGAUCUUGUGAAUGUUAUUUUUGAGAUACCAAAUCCUCUAGAAGAGCUUGCGAGUGUUGCUGUUAAUGAUAGCCAUGCUAGUGGCGAGGACAUUGCUGAUGUUGUGAAAAAUAUUAAUGAUGGAAUUUAUUCUCUUAAUUUUGGUGAUGGUGAUGGGAGCAUGCAGUUGUCUUUACAGCUGGAGGACGAAAGGAAAAGAAAGAAGAAGUGUGAUUUCCAGAGGAGAAAGGAGUUGGAACGGCGUCAAAAGGCUGCUUGUGUGCAACGAAGCGCUGAGGAUGUUGCUCAAGCUGCUAAAGGUGGAGGUGAUGAAGGUGGUGACGCGGCCUUUGCAACUGUUGAUGCUGGAUCUCAUGGAACUGACAUGCCUGUCAAGACAAACCUUUUGCAGACUCGCUUACCGCAAGUGUUUCCUCGUGAUGCAGUUAAGGAAAAGAAAGCUGUUUUGAAGAGGAAGAUGUCAGAUCCAAAUCCUGUUGGCACACAGAGGCGUAGCCCACAUGUGAAAGCUGGUUCCCAACCUAGUAAUAGCAAAGCUGAUGGAGAUAGUGUUGCUGUGAAGAUUGGUCCAUGCACACUUGGUGGCUCCCCUGAAAAUAAGAAGCGUAAAGUUGCUCCUGCGAAGGUGAACAAAGGUGUGAAGAAGCAUGCUCGUGUUGAAGCUGAAGAUCCUGCAUUAGAAGAAGAUGAUAUCGAAGUUGAUUCUGAGGAUGAAUAUGCACUACCUGUUAGCGUUAUGGGUCCGGUCAAGCCGGUGAGAGGCAAUGAUGGAAAAGUUGCUUUGGAUGAAGCUGGUUUUGGUUCUAUCUUCAAGUGGAAGGUGAAGUCUAACAUUUCCAACCCUCUGAUGGGAGUUUUGUACCUCAAGAUAGAUCCUGAUACGAUGACUCUUGACAUGGGUGAGGCUAAUAACAAGCUUCGCAUCACUGGCGAUGGUAUACAACAACUAUUUGGGUUCCCUCGUGGUGGUCGUUCUGCACCAAGGCCGUCAGAAGACGGAUAUGAUGACGCUCUGAUGGAGUUAAGAUCGGGGCUUGACAUUAGCAGGGACAGAGAUAUCAAGACGAAGGAUUUGAGGGAUAAGCUCAAGGUGCUUGUCAAGGAUCCUAGCAAAGAUGACCUUGCUCUAAAAGUGUUCUUCAUUAUUGUGUUUAUCAAAGUUGUGUUGCCUGGUGCCACCCCUCGUGUUUCCAGAGAGGCAACAAUGUUUGAGGAUCUCGUUAUUGAGGACAUGGCUAAUAUGGAUUAUUGCCAGCUAAUGGUUGAUGAGCUUAGAAGGGCUGUUGUCAGGUACCAAGAUGGUGUUACCCUUGGGAAGGCAAUCACAUGUUGUGCUAUAGGGCCUAUACUAAUGUACCUUGACUGCCUUAUCCGUGGCAAGAUUACGGAUGUUGACAUGCGAGUCCCCCGCAUAUGUUUCAUGGAUCAGGACAAGCUUUCCGAUCUGGCUGAUGCAGAUUUGAUAAGAAAAGGAAACGCAGAUCCAAAGACUUGGGUGUUUGGGAAGCUUCUGGUCCCAACUAUAGUUGAGCGUCUGAGCUGUAUCAAUGGUAUCCUCCCUGAUGGUCAUCAAUUUAAUGCUGAGGAAGCAGCAAACUAUAUUGAGAUGGAGAGAAUUUUAAUUAGUGAUAUGCGUGAUGGUGCUGCUCAACUAAUUCAGAGCUCGGUUCGUCUGUUGAACAACAUGAAGCGUUUCAAAACUAUGCAAGACUCUCGCUGCAAGCCAUAUGAAGAAAGUGCCAAUGUUGUUAUCAGGCAGAUUGAGCAGGAUGAGGCUGCUGGCACUGCCAACAGGACUGGUGAUGGUACUGACGCUAAUGUUUCUGACCACCAUACAAAUGAUGUUGGUUUGGAGUCCCCUGUUGUUGAUGAGACCAGUCAUGAUGUUGAGGCCGCUAUUGACUAUGGAGUUAAUGAUCCAUCUACUGAUAAGAGCAAGAUGACUGAUGUUGAGCGCGAGGCUGCCGUUAGUGUUGGAGAUGAUGCUUGUGGUGUUCCAUUGAGCAGUGGGCAUGAUGUUGGUAGCAAAGUUGCUGAUGAGGAUGUUGGUGCUGCUAGCAUACUUGAUGUCAAAUCAUCUGGUGUUGGUAUUGCUGAGAAUGAUAAUCUUUCUGAUUCUGAAGAUUUGCCGCCGGAAAAUUUCCCGCCUGAGGGCCUGAUUGCGGUGAUGCAUUGCAAGACGCAGACGUGUCUAGCAUGGAGGAGUGAAAAGCCGAUAUUUCGAAAUAGCGAAUGCGAUGCCAGUGUUGGUUCUGUUGCUAAAGCGUUUGUCCCCACUGGCAUGCUCAACUCAGACAGUGCUGAUGUUGUUUUAUUUUCUCUAACUCAGAAGUACCGAGAAACUGACAAGUUGAUAGUUCCUAGAUGGGUGACGACCAAGAUCCAUGAUGGAAAUAUUGAUGCCAAUGUGCUACAGUGGUUCACGAGAUCAGGGGCUGAUGAUUUUGACCAACUUCUUUUCCCUACUUUUGAUCUGCCGUCAUUUGCGGCUGCCAUGAAGCCUACUGAAGAAUCUGGGCAUUGGUGCUUGAUUGUUCUGAAUUUGAGGUUCCGUCGUUUCGAGUGUCUUGAUUCACUCCGCGAUGAAACCUGGAGUGAUGCAGUUAGAUUCUUAAGGAGUGAGUGGUUGGAUCUUGGUGAGCAUGACUACAUGAUCUUUGGCAGCUAG
RNAcentral lists this ribosomal RNA (2835 nucleotides) under Triticum aestivum (bread wheat). Its description in RNAcentral is "partial small subunit ribosomal RNA". Lineage: Eukaryota; Viridiplantae; Streptophyta; Magnoliopsida; Poales; Poaceae. The record is from RNAcentral.